Molecule: non-coding RNA, 148 nt
Filed under: Nomascus leucogenys (northern white-cheeked gibbon)
Lineage: Eukaryota; Metazoa; Chordata; Mammalia; Primates; Hylobatidae
Source: Rfam by way of RNAcentral
GCUGGGCAUGGUGGUGCGUGCCUGUAAUCUCAGCUACUCAGGAGGCUGAGGCAGGAGAAUCACUUGAACCCGGGAGGUGGAGGUUGCAGUUAACCAAAAUCGUGCCACUGCACUCCAGCCUGGGUGACAGAGUGAGACUCUGUCUCAA